RNAcentral lists this ribosomal RNA (467 nucleotides) under uncultured bacterium. RNAcentral's name for it is "partial 16S ribosomal RNA". It matches the Rfam family "Bacterial small subunit ribosomal RNA", at positions 29 to 507 of the family's 1533-position model. The record is from RNAcentral.
ACGAACGCUGGCGGCGUGCUUAACACAUGCAAGUCGAACGGAAAGGCCCUGCUUUUGUGGGGUGCUCGCGUGGCGAACGGGUGAGUAACACGUGAGUAACCUGCCCUUGACUUUGGGAUAACUUCAGGAAACUGGGGCUAAUACCGGAUAGGAGCUCCUGCUGCAUGGUGGGGGUUGGAAAGUUUCGGCGGUUGGGGAUGGACUCGCGGCUUAUCAGCUUGUUGGUGGGGUAGUGGCUUACCAAGGCUUUGACGGGUAGCCGGCCUGAGAGGGUGACCGGCCACAUUGGGACUGAGAUACGGCCCAGACUCCUACGGGAGGCAGCAGUGGGGAAUAUUGCACAAUGGGCGGAAGCCUGAUGCAGCAACGCCGCGUGCGGGGUGACGGCCUUCGGGUUGUAAACCGCUUUCGCCUGUGACGAAGCGUGAGUGACGGUAAUGGGUAAAGGAGCACCGGCUAACUACGUG